AAUCAACGCUGGCGGCGUGCCUAACACAUGCAAGUCGAACGAGAAAGUGGAGCAAUCCAUGAGUACAGUGGCGCACGGGUGAGUAACACGUGACUAACCUACCCUUGAGUGGGGGAUAACUGAGGGAAACCUUAGCUAAUACCGCAUAAUACCUACGGGUCAAAGGAGCAAUUCGCUUAAGGAGGGGGUCGCGGCCGAUUAGUUAGUUGGCGGGGUAAUGGCCCACCAAGACGAUGAUCGGUAUCCGGCCUGAGAGGGCGCACGGACACACUGGAACUGAAACACGGUCCAGACUCCUACGGGAGGCAGCAGUGGGGAAUUUUGCGCARUGGGGGAAACCCUGACGCAGCAACGCCGCGUGGAGGAUGAAGUCCUUCGGGACGUAAACUCCUUUCGAUCGGGACGAUUAU
Molecule: ribosomal RNA, 410 nt
Filed under: bacterium Ellin607
Lineage: Bacteria; Pseudomonadati; Acidobacteriota; Terriglobia; Terriglobales; Acidobacteriaceae
Description: bacterial SSU rRNA
Rfam family: Bacterial small subunit ribosomal RNA
Source: RNAcentral